GUCGGAGUGGCGAAAUGGUAGACGCGCACGUUUCAGGAGCGUGUGGAGCAAUCCGUGAGGGUUCAAGUCCCUCCUUCGACA
This 81-nucleotide transfer RNA is filed under the name Candidatus Galligastranaerophilus faecipullorum. RNAcentral's name for it is "tRNA-Leu". It matches the Rfam family "tRNA". Rfam says of the family: Transfer RNA (tRNA) molecules are approximately 80 nucleotides in length. Their secondary structure includes four short double-helical elements and three loops (D, anti-codon, and T loops). Lineage: Bacteria; Bacillati; Candidatus Melainabacteria; Candidatus Gastranaerophilales; Candidatus Gastranaerophilaceae. The record is from RNAcentral.